Molecule: ribosomal RNA, 2111 nt
Filed under: Faecalitalea cylindroides
Lineage: Bacteria; Bacillati; Bacillota; Erysipelotrichia; Erysipelotrichales; Erysipelotrichaceae
Description: partial 23S ribosomal RNA
Rfam family: Bacterial large subunit ribosomal RNA
Source: RNAcentral
UGAUUAAGUAAGGAAGGGCGUACGGAGGAUGCCUUGCCACUCGAAACUGAAGAAGGACGUGCCAAACUGCGAAAUGCGGCGGUGAGCUGUAAGGAAGCGAAGACCCGCCGAUCUCCGAAUGGGGGAACCCGGCCGGCCACACAGCCGGUCACCGCACGGUGAACACAUAGCCGUGCAGGGAGGUACCCGGUGAACUGAAACAUCUAAGUAACCGGAGGAAAAGAAAACAACAGUGAUUCCCUGAGUAGCGGCGAGCGAAAGGGGAGAAGCCCAAACCGGUCUGAGGACCGGGGUUGAAGGACCGCGGGAUGACAAGAAGGAGCAUAGACGAACGCGAUUGAAAGCGCGACCGAAGAAGGUGCAAGUCCUGUAGUCGAAAUGGUCCGGAAGUCUAGCGGGAUCCUGAGUACGGCGAGACACGAGGAAUCUUGUCGGAAGCAGGCGGGACCAUCCGCCAAGGCUAAAUAUAAACGAGUGAGCGAUAGUGAACCAGUACCGUGAGGGAAAGGUGAAAAGAACCGCGGGAGCGGAGUGAAAGAGAACCUGAAACCGUAUGCCUACAAGAAGUCAGAGCCCGUUAAAGGGUGAUGGCGUGCCUUUUGUAGAAUGAACCGGCGAGUUACGGAAAGAUGCGAGGUUAAGUCGGAAAGGACGGAGCCGCAGCGAAAGCGAGUCUGAAGAGGGCGAGAGUAGACUUCCGUAGACCCGAAACCGGGUGAUCUAGCCAUGAGCAGGUUGAAGUUGAGGUGAAACUCAAUGGAGGACCGAACCGACCACCGUUGAAAAGUUGGCGGAUGACUUGUGGCUAGCGGAGAAAUUCCAAUCGAACCCGGAGAUAGCUGGUUCUCCCCGAAAUAGCUUUAGGGCUAGCGUCGGAAUGAACCCAUGUGAAGGUAGAGCACUGAAUGUGUGAUGGCCCCAUCCCGGGGUACUGAAUACAAUCAAACUCCGAAUGUCAUGUGGGAUGUCCGGCAGUCAGACUGUGAGUGAUAAGGUCCAUGGUCGAGAGGGAAACAGCCCAGACCGCCAGUUAAGGUCCCAAAAUGCAGGCUAAGUGGAAAAGGAUGUGGGGAUGCCCAGACAACUAGGAGGUUGGCUCAGAAGCAGCCACCCUUUAAAGAGUGCGUAACAGCUCACUAGUCGAGUGACCCUGCGCCGAAAAUGUACCGGGGCUAAGCCUGAUACCGAAACUGCGGAAUCGAAUGAUUGGUAGGGGAGCGUUGUAUACGGGUGGAAGCCGUACCGUGAGGAGCGGUGGACUGUAUAGAAGUGAGAAUGCCGGUGUGAGUAGCGAGAUGUAGGUGAGAAUCCUACACACCGAAAGCCCAAGGAUUCCAGGGGAAGGUUCGUCCGCCCUGGGUAAGUCGGGACCUAACGCGAGGCCGAAAGGCGUAGUGGAUGGAAAGCAGGCGGAGAUUCCUGCACCCGUAUGUGGAGCGAUGGAGUGACGGAGACGGCUAAUGUGACCCUCUUAACGGAUUGAGGGCGAAGCGGGGUAGCGGUCGACCAGGCAAAUCCGGUCGGCAUAACGCGAAGACGUGACAGGGAAGCGAACGCUUUGGCAAGUAGCGAAGCACAUGAGGCCGGCUUCCAAGAAAAGCUUCUGGCAAUGCACAUGCGGCCCGUACCAAAACCGACACAGGUGGGCAGGUAGAGGAUACCAAGGUGAGCGAGAGAACUGUUGCCAAGGAACUCGGCAAAAUGGCUCCGUACGUUCGCAAGAAGGAGCGCUUAUGAAAAUAAGCCGCAGUGAAUAGGCCCAAGCGACUGUUUAACUAAAACACAGCUCUCUGCGAAGUCGCAAGACGAAGUAUAGGGGGUGACACCUGCCCGGUGCCGGAAGGUUAAGAGGAUCUGUCAAUCGCAAGAUGAAGCAGUGAGUUGAAGCCCCGGUGAACGGCGGCCGUAACUAUAACGGUCCUAAGGUAGCGAAAUUCCUUGUCAGGUAAGUUCUGACCCGCACGAAAGGUGUAACGAUUUGGGCGCUGUCUCGGCAGCAGGCUCGGUGAAAUCUUAGUACCUGUGAAAAUGCAGGUUACCCGCAACUAGACGGAAAGACCCCAUGGAGCUUUACUGUAGCCUGGUAUUGGAUUUUGGUCAGACAUGUACAG